Molecule: ribosomal RNA, 485 nt
Filed under: uncultured bacterium
Lineage: Bacteria
Description: bacterial SSU rRNA
Rfam family: Bacterial small subunit ribosomal RNA
Source: RNAcentral
GACGAACGCUGGCGGCGUGCUUAACACAUGCAAGUCGAACGAUGAACUGGAGCUUGCUCCAGGGAUUAGUGGCGAACGGGUGAGUAACACGUGAGUAACCUGCCCUUGACUCUGGGAUAAGCGUUGGAAACGACGUCUAAUACCGGAUAUGACUUCUACCGGCAUCGGUUGGGAGUGGAAAGAAUUUCGGUCAAGGAUGGACUCGCGGCCUAUCAGGUUGUUGGUGAGGUAACGGCUCACCAAGCCGACGACGGGUAGCCGGCCUGAGAGGGAGACCGGCCACACUGGGACUGAGACACGGCCCAGACUCCUACGGGAGGCAGCAGUGGGGAAUAUUGCACAAUGGGCGAAAGCCUGAUGCAGCAACGCCGCGUGAGGGACGACGGCCUUCGGGUUGUAAACCUCUUUUAGUAGGGAAGAAGCGAAAGUGACGGUACCUGCAGAAAAAGCACCGGCUAACUACGUGCCAGCAGCCGCCGUAACAC